RNAcentral lists this ribosomal RNA (304 nucleotides) under uncultured bacterium. Its description in RNAcentral is "partial 16S ribosomal RNA". It matches the Rfam family "Bacterial small subunit ribosomal RNA", at positions 506 to 807 of the family's 1533-position model. The record is from RNAcentral.
CAGCAGCCGCCGCGGUAAUACGAAGGGUGCAAGCGUUACUCGGAAUUACUGGGCGUAAAGCGUGCGUAGGUGGUGGUUUAAGUCCGUUGUGAAAGCCCUGGGCUCAACCUGGGAAUUGCAGUGGAUACUGGGUCACUAGAGUGUGGUAGAGGAUAGUGGAAUUUCCGGUGUAGCAGUGAAAUGCGUAGAGAUCGGAAGGAACAUCUGUGGCGAAGGCGACUAUCUGGGCCAACACUGACACUGAGGCACGAAAGCGUGGGGAGCAAACAGGAUUAGAUACCCGAGUAGUCCCUGUCUCUUAUAC